GACGAACGCUGGCGGCGUGCUUAACACAUGCAAGUCGAACGGAAAGGCCCUGCUUGCCGGGUACUCGAGUGUCGAACGGGUGAGUAACACGUGGGUGAUCUGCCCUGCACUUCGGGAUAAGCCUGGAGAACUGGGUCUAAUACCGGAUAGGAGCCAUUUUUAGUGUGAUGGUUGGAAAGUUUUUUGGGUGUGGGAUGAGCUCGCGGCCUAUCAGCUUGUUGGUGGGGUAAUGGCCUACCAAGGCGGCCACGGGUAGCCGGCCUGAGAGGGUGGACGGCCACAUUGGGACUGGGGUACGGCCCAGACUCCUACGGGAGGCAGGAGGGGGGAAUAUUGCACAAUGGGCGCAAGCCUGAUGCAGCGACGCCGCGUGGGGGAAGACGGCCUUCGGGUUGUAAACUCCUUUCGCUAGGGACGAAGCUUUUUGUGACGGUACCUAGAUAAGAAGCACCGGCUAACUACGUG
This 465-nucleotide ribosomal RNA is filed under the name uncultured bacterium. Its description in RNAcentral is "partial 16S ribosomal RNA". It matches the Rfam family "Bacterial small subunit ribosomal RNA", at positions 28 to 507 of the family's 1533-position model. The record is from RNAcentral.